This is a long non-coding RNA of Prinia subflava (tawny-flanked prinia), 779 nucleotides long. RefSeq lists it as uncharacterized. The transcript is spliced from 3 exons. The record is from RefSeq and is a predicted model, not a curated record. NCBI's taxonomy places the organism in Eukaryota, Metazoa, Chordata, Aves, Passeriformes, Cisticolidae.
CAGCUACAAGAUGUGUGGCGAGCAGAAUGCUGCAAGGAAUGAAGAAAAUAAGAAAUUAAAUAAAUGGAGUGAAUGCUGUAUGGGUUGGUCACCACUGAGAGGAACAUUAUAGGAUCUGCUGUGUGGUCUAAUCAAGCCCAUUGAGCUGACAGAGGCUGAUCCAGCACAGAGGUGCAGUGCCUGGUCUCCAGAGGAGGGCUCACCCUGAGCCUCUGCAGCAGCAGUGAUGCAUUCCUGGGGCUGGGAAUCCAGGAAUGCUCCCACCAGGCACACGGAGAGUAACCAAGGAAAACAGAUUCUGAUGAAGUUGCUGUUCACUUUUAAUGGCAUGAUCCAUGCUCAAGGAUAUUUCACCUUUUGUUAUUUUUUCUUCAGGUUUUCUGCCUAUGUGCACUUUGCUUUCUCAACUAAAAAAAAAAAAAAGGGAAAACAAAUCCUGAGGACUGAAAGUGGAGGAAAACGUCACAUAUCUUGGUGCUUGUGGUUCUUCGCACUGGGAGAGAAAAAAUCCACUGCAUGUUUCCUGAAACCAAAUAAAGAUUGAAAUUUAUAUUUAUUGCAAUACAAGCCCCUUUCUGACAGGUGUGUCUUUCCUGGAGUUGCUGGAAGUCACAUCAUCCAACAUCUUGGGCUUUCUUUGGGGAGAAGAAAAGAAAAUGCCAGUGUGAGAAUAUUUCUGGGUAGAACAAACCUCUUAGGCAGCCACAUACAUUAAAGCAGAACUACUAUAAAUGUCCUGUCCAUUUAUUCAGAUGGCUCUUACAAAGAGCAUUUGUGGG